This 647-nucleotide small RNA is filed under the name Drosophila pseudoobscura pseudoobscura. Its description in RNAcentral is "GA31103". The record is from RNAcentral. Lineage: Eukaryota; Metazoa; Arthropoda; Insecta; Diptera; Drosophilidae.
UUUUCAUUAUAAUCUUUAAUAUUUGAAGUACCAUUGGUUAUCAUUUAAGCUGUUAACGAUGCCAUUAAUACAAUUGAUUGUGACUGUUAGAACUAUUAGUGUAAGAUAUUAUCCGUGUUACAAUUAUCUGUGUUGUAUAAAAGCUGUAAGCCAUUGUUGAGCUUGUAGGCAUUCCUAAACAGUGUUGGAUAUCGUAAUGAUAAAAUAUUUCGUGAUUUCAGUAAUUGAUUUCGGUAUAACGUUAAAUACUUUCUAUUGUCAUUCAGAAAGAGUAUUGUAUAUCGUGCUGUAGGCCAUUGUUGAGAUUGUAGGCAUUCUUAAACAGUGUUGGAUAUCGUAAUGAUAAAAUAUUUCGUGAUUUCAGUUAUUGAUUUCGGCAUAACGUUAAAUACUUUCUAUUGUCAUUCAGAAAGAGUAUUCUAUAUCGUGCUGUAGGCCAUUGUUGAGAUUGUAGGCAUUCUUAAACAGUGUUGGAUAUCGUAAUGAUAAAAUAUUUCGUGAUUUCAGUUAUUGAUUUCGGCAUAACGUUAAAUACUUUCUAUUGUCAUUCAGAAAGAGUAUUCUAUAUCGUGCUGUAGGCCAUUGUUGAGAUUGUAGGCAUUCUUAAACAGUGUUGGAUAUCGUAAUGAUAAAAUAUUUCGUGAUUU